This 504-nucleotide ribosomal RNA is filed under the name uncultured bacterium. RNAcentral's name for it is "partial 16S ribosomal RNA". It matches the Rfam family "Bacterial small subunit ribosomal RNA", at positions 28 to 506 of the family's 1533-position model. The record is from RNAcentral.
GACGAACGCUGGCGGCGUGCCUAAUACAUGCAAGUCGAACGCACAGUUUAUACCGUAGCUUGCUACACCAUAGACUGUGAGUUGCGAACGGGUGAGUAACGCGUAGGUAACCUGCCUGGUAGCGGGGGAUAACUAUUGGAAACGAUAGCUAAUACCGCAUAAUAUUGAUUAUUGCAUGAUAAUUGAUUGAAAGAUGCUAUUGCAUCACUACCAGAUGGACCUGCGUUGUAUUAGCUAGUAGGUGAGGUAACGGCUCACCUAGGCGACGAUACAUAGCCGACCUGAGAGGGUGAUCGGCCACACUGGGACUGAGACACGGCCCAGACUCCUACGGGAGGCAGCAGUAGGGAAUCUUCGGCAAUGGACGAAAGUCUGACCGAGCAACGCCGCGUGAGUGAAGAAGGUUUUCGGAUCGUAAAGCUCUGUUGUAAGAGAAGAACGGGUGUGAGAGUGGAAAGUUCACACUGUGACGGUAUCUUACCAGAAAGGGACGGCGAACUACGU